UAGGGAAUAUUGCACAAUGGGCGAAAGCCUGAUGCAGCAACGCCGCGUGCGCGAUGACGGCCUUCGGGUUGUAAAGCGCUUUUCGGGGAGAUGAGGAAGGACAGUAUCCCCGGAAUAAGGCUCGGCUAACUACGUGCCAGCAGCCGCGGUAACACGUAGGAGCCAAGCGUUAUCCGAAUUCACUGGGCGUAAAGCGCGUGUAGGCGGCUUGGUAAGUUGGAUGUGAAAGCUCCUGGCUCAACUGGGAGUGGUCGUUGAAUACUUUCGGGCUAGAGGAUGGGAGAGGGAGGCGGAAUUCCGGGUGUAGUGGUGAAAUGCGUAGAUAUCCGGAGGAACACCAGUGGCGAAAGCGGCCUCCUGGCCCAUUUCUGACACUCAGACGCGAAAGCUAGGGUAGCAAACGG
RNAcentral lists this ribosomal RNA (404 nucleotides) under uncultured bacterium. RNAcentral's name for it is "bacterial SSU rRNA". It matches the Rfam family "Bacterial small subunit ribosomal RNA", at positions 355 to 775 of the family's 1533-position model. The record is from RNAcentral.